Molecule: ribosomal RNA, 253 nt
Filed under: uncultured bacterium
Lineage: Bacteria
Description: partial 16S ribosomal RNA
Rfam family: Bacterial small subunit ribosomal RNA
Source: RNAcentral
UACAGAGGUGGCAAGCGUUGUUCGGAAUUACUGGGCGUAAAGGGCGCGUAGGCGGUCCUCUAAGUCUUGUGUGAAAGCCCUCGGCUCAACCGAGGAACUGCGCUCCAAACUACUUGACUUGAGGAGGCUAGAGGUAAGCGGAACUGAUGGUGGAGCGGUGAAAUGCGUUGAUAUCAUCAGGAACACCGGAGGCGAAGGCGGCUUACUGGGGCCUUUCUGACGCUGAGGAACGAAAGCCAGGGGAGCGAACGGG